CUGUAAUUGUAGCUGCAGGAACUCUAAGUAUUUUCCGGCUUUCGCACCAGGCCGAGGGAACUCAGGGAAAGGCAGGGAUUGGAUGGCUAUUUCCUCGGUUGGUGUCCCUUCGUCAACUUGUCCCGCAGGUGGUGAGGUGAAGAGAAGUGGAAGAAAAACUAACUUGACUUCAGUAAGUCAGAGCAAGAACCUUGUAAGGCAUGGUCGUGACUGCUGGAACCAGUACUCAUUCAGAGCUGGUGGUGCCUUGUCUCGUUGCAGGGUCUCAUGUUAGGAAGAGCCAAUUGGAAGGCAUCGACAGCCAGUGCUGGGUAUCGCCCCUGCCUGCUUUGUGGCUGCUGCUGCUGCACAAGUCUUACAAUCCAGAUGCCACACAGCACAUUAACUGCCCACUUACUCCAGUGUAAUGUCUCUUGUCUAAUAUGCGUUGCUAAACCUUUGACUAAAGUGGAGAGAUUCUAUACCAGGCCUGGAGGUAUCGAAGCUUGCAAACUCUUCCUGAUGAGCCAAGAACUCAAUCUCCAAGCCUCUAAAGAUAAACAAAUCCCAAUGAACAACACGAGUGGGUACCUGCCAGCCGUCCACUCUUGGUGCCGUCACUCCCAAGGGCAGGCCACCCAGGAACAGCUCCCGCCCGACAUUCACCUUGCGUGGGCCCUUCACAUUCUUGACAUUCUUGUUGUCAAUGUACAAGUUGAUGCGCUUCUUUGUUUUCUCCACCCUCACCUGUGGAAUAAAGGAUACACAUUCGAGGCACCUGCUAGAUGAUACUGAUAUUGAUAAAUCUGGAAAAUGGUUAGCUCAGUGGUACAUUUCUAACAAAGACUUUUCAGCUACACAUUUUAUUGUGAUAUCAAGUUUCUACAAUAAUUGCGAUAAUAGAAUCCACACACACUUUAAAUCCUGAUAAUAUGAGAGACUGAUUUCUGUGAAUUUGAAAUAUUCCUACAAAAGAAUAAAAUAGAAGACACUUUUA
Portunus trituberculatus (swimming crab) is the source of this 976-nucleotide RNA transcript. RefSeq lists it as uncharacterized. Lineage: Eukaryota; Metazoa; Arthropoda; Malacostraca; Decapoda; Portunidae. The record is from RefSeq and is a predicted model, not a curated record. The transcript has 5 exons.